This 880-nucleotide ribosomal RNA is filed under the name uncultured bacterium. Its description in RNAcentral is "bacterial SSU rRNA". It matches the Rfam family "Bacterial small subunit ribosomal RNA", at positions 99 to 975 of the family's 1533-position model. The record is from RNAcentral.
CGGACGGUUGAGUAAUACUUGGGAAUCUGCCUGAGGGCGGGGGACAACCACUGGAAACGGUGGCUAAUACCGCAUAAUGUCUACGGACCAAAGUGUGGGACCUACGGGCCACACGCCUUCAGAUGAGCCCAAGCGAGAUUAGGUAGUUGGUGGGGUAAAGGCCUACCAAGCCGACGAUCUCUAGCUGGUUUGAGAGGAUGAUCAGCCACACUGGGACUGAGACACGGCCCAGACUCCUACGGGAGGCAGCAGUGGGGAAUAUUGGACAAUGGGGGCAACCCUGAUCCAGCCAUGCCGCGUGUGUGAAGAAGGCCUUCGGGUUGUAAAGCACUUUCAGUGGUGAGGAAGGCGUUGUCGUUAAUAGCGGCGACGAUUGACGUUAGCCACAGAAGAAGCACCGGCUAACUCCGUGCCAGCAGCCGCGGUAAUACGGAGGGUGCGAGCGUUAAUCGGAAUUACUGGGCGUAAAGCGCACGUAGGCGGUUUGCUAAGCAAGAUGUGAAAGCCCAGAGCUCAACUCUGGAAUAGCAUUUUGAACUGGCAGGCUAGAGUUUUGGAGAGGGUGGUAGAAUUUCCAGUGUAGCGGUGAAAUGCGUAGAUAUUGGAAGGAAUACCAGUGGCGAAGGCGGCCUUCUGGACUGACACUGACACUGAGGUGCGAAAGCGUGGGUAGCAAACAGGAUUAGAUACCCUGGUAGUCCACGCCGUAAACGAUGUCGACCAGCCGUUGGGUGCCUCGCGCACUUAGUGGCGAAGUUAACGCGAUAAGUCGACCGCCUGGGGAGUACGGCCGCAAGGUUAAAACUCAAAUGAAUUGACGGGGGCCCGCACAAGCGGUGGAGCAUGUGGUUUAAUUCGAUGCAACGCGAAGGACCUUACC